GAUAAACUUAAAAUAAACCUUUUUACUCUAAACUUUUAAAAUUAGGAUUCAUCAGGACUUAGUGCUGCAGAAAGACAUAUGUGUCCAAAAAAUGUACAUAAGCCCAAGGUACUUUGGAAGGAUAUUCUAACAGGACGAUGGAAAGGUCCUGACCCAGUAAUUGUCUGGAGUCCGGGGUCUGUUUGUGUGUUUCCACAAGGAGAACAGCAGCAGAUUUGGAUUCCAGAGAGAUUAACUAAGGUCCUGACCCAGUGAUUGUCUGGAGUCGAGGGUCUGUUUGUGUGUUUCCACAGGGAGAACAGCAGCCAAUUUGGAUUCCAGAGAGAUUAACUAAAGCAAUUCCUACAGAGCAAAAACAAGAUGAUUUGGCUCAAAUCCAUAACAGCUGA
Molecule: long non-coding RNA, 389 nt
Filed under: Marmota monax (woodchuck)
Lineage: Eukaryota; Metazoa; Chordata; Mammalia; Rodentia; Sciuridae
Source: RNAcentral